This 67-nucleotide transfer RNA is filed under the name Arge aurora. Its description in RNAcentral is "Arge sp. CSCS-Hym-MC0179 tRNA-His". Lineage: Eukaryota; Metazoa; Arthropoda; Insecta; Hymenoptera; Argidae. The record is from RNAcentral.
ACUUAAUUAGUUUAUAAUAAAAUUUUGAUUUGUGGUGUCAAAGAUGUAUAAAUAAGUACAUUAAGUU